UCCGGUUUGUCACCGGCAGUCUCCCUAGAGUUCCCGGCCGAACCGCCAUGUCAAGGGCUGGUAAGGUUCUGCGCGUUGCGUCGAAUUAAACCACAUGCUCCACCGCUUGUGCGGGCCCCCGUCAAUUCCUUUGAGUUUUAACCUUGCGGCCGUACUCCCCAGGCGGUGGGCUUAAUGCGUUAGCUGCGACACCGAGGGGCAUGCCCCCCAACGUCUAGCCCACAUCGUUUAGGGCGUGGACUAC
Molecule: unclassified non-coding RNA, 244 nt
Filed under: uncultured Pseudomonadota bacterium
Lineage: Bacteria; Pseudomonadati; Pseudomonadota
Description: uncultured proteobacterium contains 16S-23S intergenic spacer region
Source: RNAcentral